ACUCGUGUUUUUCUGGGUACCGAUGCUCCCCACAGAAUGUAUUCUCGCACCUGCACUUAAACCCAGUUAACCCAACCUUUUUCCUACAAAUAAAACACCUGUUCGCCGCCUUUGGUUCCGGUUGUUGAUUAACGGCAACAACAGCCGGUUGUUGUUGCUCAAUCGAUGUAGACGAAGAACCCACAUGAGGCUUAAAAGUCUCCACAACAACAGGUUCAUGCUUCGUUUUGAUACUGAGAGAUUUCUCCAUAACAGCUUUCGCCUUCGCCGCUUGCUCCUCCCCAACACGGAGGUCCCGGUAACACUUUGAACAUAAAUUCAUAUUCGCUGCCGUCCCGAAAAACCCACAACCGUUGGCACAA
Molecule: long non-coding RNA, 362 nt
Filed under: Gossypium raimondii (Peruvian cotton)
Lineage: Eukaryota; Viridiplantae; Streptophyta; Magnoliopsida; Malvales; Malvaceae
Description: long non-coding RNA (GRAI_LNC002418)
Source: RNAcentral